RNAcentral lists this small RNA (179 nucleotides) under Chelonoidis abingdonii (Abingdon island giant tortoise). RNAcentral describes it as "TUC338 (ENSCABG00000015142.1)". The record is from RNAcentral. Lineage: Eukaryota; Metazoa; Chordata; Testudines; Testudinidae.
CUGGUUGCUGGGAAAAUGAAGCCCUCUUUGUCCACACCACAGGUGUGGCAUGGGCAACCGGAACACAAGAUUCCCCCUCAUUGCCCCACCAAUGUGCCUCUAAGGUAGCUUGGAGGAACCUCCUCUAGGGUGAAAAGACAGCAGCUUCCUGCCCCUGGCCCAUCCAAUCCUUAGCCUCU